UCUUGGAGCACAAUUUUGCCUAUACACAUUUGAGUAUUGCAUAGUCAUUGGAGAAUGAGGCUCUGAACUUCCUUCUGGAUUUAGGCUUCUAAAUUCUUCCUAAAUUUCACUGUACAGCCUAAAACAGACAUGCUGGAUUUCAAGUUUGUCUUAGAAUCAAGAUGAGUUGCUAUAAGCUGAAUUCACCUACAGCUCUGCUGCAACCCAAAACUGUGCUGUCUCGGGGCCCCUCGCACACACCAUGGUGGGCAAAGAUGCAGUGCUGGAAUGACUCCAGGGACCUCACUUUUCCCAGAAGCUGUGGCAACUCUGGAGCAACAUCUGCAGGCAGACAAGAUUUUCUCUGAAAGAAGUCUGAAAGACUCAUAAGCAAAACAACAUUGCAAGCACUACCAGAGCAUGACAGAAGAGGUUCAGUUUCAGAGUCUGCCUGGGAUAUACAAGGCAUUUCAGAGAAGACUGCCUUGGUGAAGGUCUGAUUCAUCUUUCAUGUAAAUACGGAGAAGCUUUAUCAAGUUAACGGAGUGAAAUUCAGUGAAAACUGUGGUAAGUGAGA
This is a long non-coding RNA of Corvus hawaiiensis (hawaiian crow), 556 nucleotides long. RefSeq lists it as uncharacterized. Lineage: Eukaryota; Metazoa; Chordata; Aves; Passeriformes; Corvidae. The record is from RefSeq and is a predicted model, not a curated record. The transcript is spliced from 5 exons.